Sarcophilus harrisii (Tasmanian devil) is the source of this 4207-nucleotide long non-coding RNA. NCBI's taxonomy places the organism in Eukaryota, Metazoa, Chordata, Mammalia, Dasyuromorphia, Dasyuridae. The record is from Ensembl.
CGAGACACGGCUCCAACUCGGAUGUUCUUGAUCCCAAGUCCAGCGCUGGGGGUUUAAAGGAAGGCUAUGGGCUGCCUGAGAGGAAAGACACCAGGAUAAUAGUGGCACCCACUUGGGAUGCGGCGGUGUCCGUAGAAGCCCUGAGUGCACGUGGUGGCCGCACAUCCCUUCCCCCCCCCCCCCCCCCGCGCGCUCCGAGGGGCUCCCCCCAGGCCUUGCCCCCAGCUCCGAUGCUACUUCCAGCGCUUUACUACGGAUUGGGGAAGGUCGGGGCUUGCGGCCUGUGAAGGCCCCGGCCCCCCCGCCCCCGGCUGCAUUUGGAUCCCGUAGCCCCGCCCAGAGCUCCGGGGGUGUGGGGACGGGCUGGGGCGAGCUCCCGGGCCAGUUCGGGGAGUCUACAACUAUCCCGGGCCUGGGCGCUGUCCAGAGGAGUCGGGUCUCCGGAAGGGAAUCACGGCCUUCGUAGGGACCGCAGUAACUCCUGUGGCAACAGAGCGGGACUAUCCCUCCCCUAGGCUGGAGACUCUUGCCCGUGGCUACCAUUUCCUGCCCCAGCUCAACAUCACCUUCACAUUCCCCUUCACUUUCAACCAUGAGGUCCUUUUUAGUCAUGUUCCUCGUAGCCAUCAUCAUCAUGACCAAGCAAUUUGCCCAAGCCCUGAAUUGCCAUGUUUGUACAGCUAAUGAAAAUGACUGUUCGAACCCAAUGCAGUGUCCUGGACUAGCCAUCUACUGCAAGACCAUUCGGGCCUCUUCUCCAGCUCUGGUCUACAAAUCCUGUGCGGCCAUCUGCACCAAGGAUAGCAUGGAGGAAAUUCAAAUAAAACAAAAUGCCAAGGUGUCCUGCUGCCAGUCAGACCUGUGUAAUGGGGCUGCUUCCUGGAACCCGGGAUCCUCAAGCCUCAUCCUCACGGGGCUUCUCAGCAUCUUCUGGGGCCUGUUUGCUCUUGGUCUCUGAGCUAUAGCCAGCAGACCCACAGGUGGAUAAAUUAACUUCCUUUCCCUCCUUUGCAUUGAUAGCUCAGCCUGGCUCCCAGGUGAGAGAGGGAGACUAUGCUCCUGUCCUUCCUUUGUCACUAGGUCCCACUCAGAGCACUGGGCUGUUUCCAGCCCUCCAUCACCUACCAUCCCCCACUGCUAUGUCUCUGUUUGGCUUUCAUAUCAGUAGAAUAGCCCUGGCCAUUUUCCAGAAGGUCGAAAAUGAUUCUUAUGACACAAUUUUGAUUUGGAAGGAAAUCACAAAAUCCCAGAUUUAAAAGGGACUCUAGAGAGCAUCCCAUGCAACCUUCAUUUGAGCAGCAAUCCCCUCUGUUAUAUCCCUGACAGGCUCUCAUUCAGCGUUGACUUGAAGAAUGCCGGUUGUGGGAAACUCCCUAUCUGUUGGGGCACCCCGUUCUACUUCUGGACAGUUUUAAUUGGCAGGAAGCAUUUCCUUAUAUCCAGUCCAAAUCUUCCUCUCUGCAAUUUUUAGACCUGGUUCCUAAUUUUGCUUGCUAGGACCAAGCAGACCAAGUCGAAUCUGUCACAUAUCUGAAGACAGCUAUAGUUUCCGUUCUCUUUUGCAAGUUAACGCUCCUAUCCCUCCAACCCCAGUCCUUGCAUGGCAGGAGACCUCACAGAUCAUUCUAUUUUAGCCUCGCCUCAUUUUACAGAGGAGGACACUGAGCUUUAAAGAAAAAUCCUUGCUUGUCUAACAUAGGUAGGAAAUGACAAAGGUGAGACUUGAACUCAAGAUUUUUGACUUCAGAUCUAGUUUUGUUUAUUCUCUUUGCUGUGGAAGAAAUACCAGUCUCUGGUCCCCUUCCAGGACACUCCUCAAAUUUCCAGUUAAUUUAAGGUUUGAGGAAUAGGUUAAAGAAGGCUAGAAGUGGAAGGAGAAGAAAAAUCUCUUGAAUCCCUCUUGUUCGUUGUGGAGUUCAGGGGAGUGACAACACAGAAUCCCAACAGCUGCUCCUGGGCUGGCUCUCUCCCCAAAGUCUCAAAUGUUUAUUGGUCUGUCAGAUGUCACCCCAGGCUCUUUCUACAAAAGGGAAGGGAAGGGAACAGAUCAUAUUGGGGCUUUUUUUAGCUGCCUGACUCAGCCCUGGGAUGAGAAACCAAGGCCCUUGUCCCCAGGGCAUCUCUCCCACUCCCCCCUCCUAGGUGAGAAGGCAAACAUGACUACGCCAGUAACCUCUCCUAACAGAAGUAGGAGAGGCUGAAGUUAUAGGAACAGGAGGCCCGCUAAAACAGCCCAGUGACACUCCAGGCUCAACUAACAACCUCUGGCUACAGAUAUGAGGCUCCGUGGGAUUAGCUACCCCUCAUGGAGAAGUAGAAAGCACGUUUGGUGGUCCAUCCUCUGGAGUCAAAGAGCCCCUCAUUUUUUUACAGCUGAGAAAACUUCCCAAAAAGAAGGGGAAAGGCAUGCUAAUUAGUAAAUAUAAUAAACUAAAUAGUAAAUAAUAUAUAGCAGAGCAUGGACCAGAACGUAAGUGAAACAAUGCAUAGAGUGCUAAGUCUGAAGUCAGAAACACCUGAGUUUGAUUCCUGCCUUGGUUACUAAUUCUAUGAAUCUGGACAAGUCAUUUCAACUCUGUUUGCCUCAGUUUUUUCAUCUGUAAAAUGGGGAUAAUAAUGGCACUUACCUUCCAGGGUUUGGUGAGGAUUAAAUGACACUAUAUUGAUAAAGUAUCUAACAGUGCUUAAUAUAUGGUAGGCACUAUAUAAAUGCUUGUUUCUUUCCUUCUGAUCCCACCCCCCCAAAUCAAGAUUCUCUGCAUUUUGCCUUUUAUUCCUAGAAAGGAACUUGGUGGUCAUGUAUAAGGCUGCCCUCGAUAUACACAUACAUACAUACAUCAUCAUCAUUAUCAUUGUCUAUUGAGGUCAAUAAUAUAUCCCCCAGAGGUUUGGCUGAGAUGAAUUAUUGACGGGAUAAAAUAUAAACUCCCAAUAUCAUUCAAGGUUCACUCACCAGCUGGUUCCCAUCUACCUGCCAGAUCUUAUUUUAUUGUCCUUCCCUUGCUCUAUGUUCUAGAGAAACUGGACAACCCUUCACCUCUUGUUCUUUGUCUGACAAUCCCCAUCUCUGUGUAUUUUUGUCCAUACCAUCUUCCCCAUCUCCAUCUAUUGAAGACCUUUUUCUUUCACCCUUUAUAGUCCAAUUCAGAUGCCACCUUUUUCCUUGAACCUCCCUCCCUAAUCUUUUCCCUAAGUCACAUGUUGUCCCUCAGAGUCCUAUUUCUUUCCCUCUCUCUGCUCUCUAGAGCCUGAAUUGUCACCCAAAUGGAAGAGAAUGGCAGGCCAUCCCCAGUAAUCUCUCAAAGGUAGAAAUCUAUUCAUCCAGUUAAGGGAGGAAGGAAGGAGGAAGGUCUGCAGGUAAAAUCUCAGCCUUUCUCCCAGACUUUUAUCUGGUCCAUCACUGUACCAAACUGAAGCUUAGACAGACUUUGUAGAUACAAACAAAACAAAAUUAAAGCUAGAUAAAUUAGAAAGAUUUUGUAUUUGGAUAAAUUCAGAGUUAUAUAUGUAUGGGAGACUUCACAGGGACUUUCAAACCAAAUUUGAAGCCUCCUCUCAUUAAGUUCUUAUUUCUUCAGUUAUUCCUGGGAACUCGUCAAACCUUUUUUGUGCAUCUUCUUAUAGACCUACCUUGAAUUAUUGAUGUAAGGUAUGUGAAUACAUCCUGAGUGUUCUCAUUAACCUUUCUCCUCAGAAAAAAAGAAACAUUAGGAAGGCUCCCUCAGAGUCUACUAGUACACCUAACUCAUCCAUGAGCAAAGUAUGACAAUGAUUAUUGAUUUUGCAAGGUAUUAUCUGCUACUCUAACAUAUCCUAUAUUAGAUUGUAAACUCCUUGAGGACAGGUGAGGACAGGCAGUACUGUGUAUCAGACAGAGCACUUGGACUUGGGGUUAUAAGACCUGGAUGUCACUCUGGCUGCUGUAUUUGCUUGACUCUUCAUUGUCAACUUGUCUUCCUCAGCUUCAGUAUCCUUAUCUGUAAAAUAUGGAUACUAACCUUUGCACUGCCUACCUCACAGAGCCAUGUAAGGAUCAAAUAAAAGACACAACAAGUAUUUUACAGCCUAUACACAUGUAAAAUAUUAUCUAAAGUUUGCAUUACUCUGAAUAUCUAUUAUAAACGUUCUUCAUGUAGCACGUGAUGAAUAAAGAUUUGCUGAAUUCAAAGAAGCAUCUUUCUAUGUCUGUUUCAUCAUCUAUACUUAC